UACGAAGGGAGCUAGCGUUUUUCGGAAUUACUGGGCGUAAAGGGUGCGUAGGCGGUUCUUUAAGUGAGAUGUGAAAGCCCCGUGCUUAACCUGGGAACGGCAUUUCAUACUGAAGGGCUAAGUGUGUAAGAGGGGUAAGCGGAAUGGCGAGUGGAGCAGUGAAAUGCGUUGAUAUUCGUUUGAACUCCAGAGGCGAAGGCGGCUUUCUAGCUUAUCACAGACACUAAGGCACUAAAGCGUGGGGAACAAACAGG
RNAcentral lists this ribosomal RNA (254 nucleotides) under uncultured bacterium. RNAcentral's name for it is "partial 16S ribosomal RNA". It matches the Rfam family "Bacterial small subunit ribosomal RNA", at positions 524 to 776 of the family's 1533-position model. The record is from RNAcentral.